ACCCGCUGAACUUAAGCAUAUCAAUAAGCGGAGGAAAAGAAACCAACAGGGAUUGCCCUAGUAACGGCGAGUGAAGCGGCAACAGCUCAAAUUUGAAAUCUGGCGUCUUUGGCGUCCGAGUUGUAAUUUGCAGAGGGCGCUUUGGCAUUGGCAGCGGUCCAAGUUCCUUGGAACAGGACGUCACAGAGGGUGAGAAUCCCGUACGUGGUCGCUAGCCUUUACCGUGUAAAGCCCCUUCGACGAGUCGAGUUGUUUGGGAAUGCAGCUCUAAAUGGGAGGUAAAUUUCUUCUAAAGCUAAAUACUGGCCAGAGACCGAUAGCGCACAAGUAGAGUGAUCGAAAGAUGAAAAGCACUUUGGAAAGAGAGUUAAAAAGCACGUGAAAUUGUUGAAAGGGAAGCGCUUGCAGCCAGACUUGCCUGUAGUUGCUCAUCCGGGUUUUUACCCGGUGCACUCUUCUAUAGGCAGGCCAGCAUCAGUUUGGGCGGUUGGAUAAAGGUCUCUGUCAUGUACCUCUCUUCGGGGAGAACUUAUAGGGGAGACGACAUGCAACCAGCCCGGACUGAGGUCCGCGCAUUCUGCUAGGGUGCUGGCGUAAUGGCUGU
RNAcentral lists this ribosomal RNA (604 nucleotides) under uncultured fungus. Its description in RNAcentral is "eukaryotic LSU rRNA". It matches the Rfam family "Eukaryotic large subunit ribosomal RNA", at positions 23 to 641 of the family's 3401-position model. The record is from RNAcentral. Lineage: Eukaryota; Fungi.